AUGCCGAGGCACCUCCGCACGCCUGCAACCCCUCCCCGUUGCCCCGCCUCAGCUUCACUCGGCCACAACGGCGCCUCGCUGCUGCCUCGCCACAACUUCGCCCGGCCCUGCUGCCGCGCCUGGAUGGAUGACACAACUGCACGCCCGCAAUGCCUUCCUGCUGCCGCAAUGGCACCAAAACUUUGCCCGGCCACGGCACCAACAUCAGGCUGGAACAUCAUUAGCGCCGGCGGACAUAGUCUGCAAGCUAUUCACCUUGGCUAUUUAUUUGACGAGGCAGUUAUGCGUGGUUAUACACACAAAUAUGGAGUAGUUGGUGUUUUUUUGUUGCCCAGUUGUUUGCUUGGAAUGCAUCAUGAUUCAUUGAUUUGGUUCUAG
This 378-nucleotide ribosomal RNA is filed under the name Triticum aestivum (bread wheat). RNAcentral describes it as "partial small subunit ribosomal RNA". Lineage: Eukaryota; Viridiplantae; Streptophyta; Magnoliopsida; Poales; Poaceae. The record is from RNAcentral.